AGAAAACACACACAUGAGUUAAGAACAGGACUAAACCGCUGUUAAAACAAUGGAAAUUUUAGUAGAGUCCUAAGUACUAUAUAACUCAUAUACACACACUCUUGCCACACAAUGUAGAAUCCGAAGGAACAACAGAUAUAUCAUAUUCAUACCUAUACAUCUUGGAGCCAAAAGUUGAUUACUGACACCAAUAUGACCAACA
Molecule: unclassified non-coding RNA, 202 nt
Filed under: Hevea brasiliensis (rubber tree)
Lineage: Eukaryota; Viridiplantae; Streptophyta; Magnoliopsida; Malpighiales; Euphorbiaceae
Source: RNAcentral